AUUGGGACUAGACCGGGGAGUUAGGCGUUCCCUGUAAGCGCAAACCGCCUUCAUGGCGCGGUCGAAGCUUGAGGGCGAUGCUGACUGGUAGUUGCGGCCCUUACUUUCGACGUAGAAGCUCUGCCCUAUAGGAUUGUUGUUAUGGUGAACCGAGUCAGGACAGGGAUGUAGCAGCUCUAAGCUGUUUCAUCAGUGCUUGUAGGAUUCACAGAGUGGAGGAGAAGGUGUGGUUAACCGUUUCUGUUGGACAGUAUCCACCAAUGGCGUGUCCCUUU
Molecule: signal recognition particle RNA, 275 nt
Filed under: Nanobdellota archaeon
Lineage: Archaea; Nanobdellati; Nanobdellota
Description: signal recognition particle sRNA
Rfam family: Archaeal signal recognition particle RNA
Source: RNAcentral